Molecule: long non-coding RNA, 3232 nt
Filed under: Hordeum vulgare
Lineage: Eukaryota; Viridiplantae; Streptophyta; Magnoliopsida; Poales; Poaceae
Description: long non-coding RNA (HVUL_LNC021698)
Source: RNAcentral
UUUGGCCAGUGUAUAAUUUAGUUUUGAUCGUGACUUGAAUUACACUCAUCAGGUAAUGGUGCCGUGAUUCUGCAGAGCUACGAGAAGAGUGGAGGAUGGAGUACAUGGCGCCUGGAACUUGCAGUGCCUCAGUGUCCGGAUAACCCAUCGUCGUGCCCAACUUGCUCCAUCAGAAGCCUGCGAACCUGGUGCCCUUGACCUUCAACCAGGCAGGGCACCAGAGUUGCACUGCCAUAAGUAUAUUCACUGUUAGUGCUACCUGCACAAGACCAAUCUUUACCAUGUAUAGUUACAUGCCUGAUAAACUGUAGUAGUAUUGAAUUUACAGUGUGCAGUUAUAUACAUUAGGAAUUAAGAGUGUGGACUGCUGUUGUAGCAAUUUUCAUUCACAUGAUGGAACCAACAAAAUAUGCUAUUCCCACUUUCUGAGAGCAACUGCACAUCAUUCUAAUGAUCGAAAGAAAAGGGCAUCUAGUACCAUCCAGGAAUCUAGUACCAUCCGCCAGGCUCACUUGCAAGUAGCAACUAGUACCAUCGAGGAAUCUGGCUAAACUUUUCUUACAGAAACCCAGUCCAUGCAAGUCUGAUUAUCUAGGUAGUAGUUCACACCGAGAUUGACACGAGGCCCCUAGAAUCCAUGCUGUCUGCCCUGAAUCUCUUUGAGUAGAGAAGUGACCACAGCAGAUUCAGCAACCCUGACAGAAAUGUACGCAUAUAUAUCAGGUCCUGCUCAAAUCUAUCGUUCUUUUCUCUGACGCAUGUUGUUUUCUUUGGUACUGAUCUUCUGGGUGUUAAUUUGGUCAGGUCAACAAUUAUUUCAUGGAUAACAUCUAACAAUUGUUGUUUAAUAAAACACAAUUGAAUGUAGUAACAAUUUCUACAACAUCUGGUUGCAAAAAUUAAUUUAGUUUGUUCAAUGGAAAAAUAAAGAGUUUUAUAUCUUCAUUCAAGAACGAAUUCCUAUUCUCUUGAAAUUUUCAUUUAUAUGUUUCCUCUUAAGAAUUGAUGUUGUAAUAUUUGUAGUUUGGAUUUUAGGUGAGUUGAACUAAAUGCCAUGCUGUUUGUUACUCCUGAAGCUAAAUUUUAACAAGCAGGUAGGAACUAGAAUAAUUAUGCGAACGCAUAACCAAUGAUUUAGCUGUUUGAGGCAUUCAAGAGAACCUCAAAAGGAAGUGUGUGCAUUUAGGAAAAUGAUUAGUGUGUGGUUCGUAGUAAAUGGGUCUUAGAGUGAGAUGCUUCUGCUGUACAUAAAUAUGCAGAAAAUGUAAAAUAGACGGUGAAAUCUUUGUAACAACUGAAUGUUACUGAACUUUUUUUAAACUGAGUUGUUUGCAGCUUGAGGCUUUGUAGCGCCUCACCGGACAGAACCCCAUGCUCGUCCAGGAUGAGUGCGCUCGAGCAAACGAUUAAGCAAUUCAAGGAGGAAUCAUCGAGCUAUAUUAUUGGAUGUCGCUUUACGUUCUACAAUAGCAUUUUUGUCCUUUUGUAUUGUGGAAUUAGUGUUCCUUGUCUCACAUUUCUCUACUAUGUAAAGUGUAUAUAUUAAUGCAGUAUUAUUAUGUUAGUUAUGAUUUCUUAAGCACUGUUCCUGGCCCAGGGUGUCCACUGAUCAGUGAUGAAGGUUGAUGAUUACAACUGAACGACUGAAUCAGUCCACUUACACAAUUAAAGAUGGUUGAUCAGUGAUGAAGGUUGAUGAUUACAACUGAAUGACUGAAUCAGUCCACUUACACAAUUAAAGAUGGUUGAAGAACCAUGCUGGAGACAGAAGAACUUGGUAUGUCAAUUUUUUAGGGCCUUCAUCAACAACACUACAAUACGUAUUCAGUCUAUAACAAUAUAAAAGUUUAGAUUUACUUCUCUGAAAUGUUGUGUGAACCAUCCUUGGUUGUACAGCUCUUUUGUUCAUCAUUACUUCCAGCCUCGUUGUUAUUUCUUGCAUUACUGGUAGAGAUCAGAUUACCAUUGCUCAUUAUAUUGUCAUUUUUUUGUAUUGCCUCCUACAUAUCUUCUGGGCAAACAAUUGAUUUCAUCUCUGCAUCCUGGAUGCGAGGCUGUUUUGCAGUGUAUAGACCCUGGUCAUUUUAGUAGUAGAAGAAUCCUUACAAGCAUGAAGAUCUAUGCUAGUGUUAUUUACAUGGCGCGAUUUGUGUACUGCUCUAGCGUUGUGAUGUUGAUAUUAUCAUGUCCGAUGUGGGAUGUUGCCGUCCACACGUACUUUUAUCUCGUUGGAACUAUGAUGUUUAUAUAUCUAUGAGUAGGUUCAGUUUUUUGUCCGAGUUGUUCUCUAGUCAACAAUUUGUACUGGUCAAAUUAUGUGUUCUACUUAUGUAUGAUAACAAAAUUAAUAUUAUAGAUAAUAACAGGUGAUAUAGUAUCCAGAUUAGUAGUAAUUAGGUUGUCCAGAUUCGUUUCUACCCAGGAAAUUAGUUUCAACGGAUACAUCAGCAAGACAACAAGUUAUAGAAACAUCAUGAAUGAUCUUGUAGUGAAAAUAAAAUCAUAAAGUUCCAAUAUAUCUUUACCAUUAUUAACAAACGUACUGUGAUUUCACUAGAAAUCGUGUAUGUGGAAUGCAUUCUAUACUCAACAAUAUGNNNNNNNNNNNNNNAUGCUGUAAUGUGAAAUAUACACUGCAUCUUGUAAACACUCCCUCCAAUCCAUAAUAUUCAGCGGGUCCCCUAGUUUUGACGUUAUAACUAGCACCUAAUUUUCUGCUAAUUUGGUAGCUCCAUGUUUUUUAUAAUUAGCAGCUUUUAUACAACCCUGAUAUCUAGUAUAAUGGAUAUAUUUUGUGAUUUGAGUUAUUGAUCUGUGCUCUGGUGUAAUAUUACGGUCUAAUAUUUUUUGUUUUGUCUCUUUUUCUGUUGCUAGGAAAGUGGUGAGAAGAUGUCGAUGAUGCCUACUUGGGACAUUCAAAUCAAUACAACAUAAAAAUUUCUAAACCUAUGUCUCAUAGGAGAGUGGAAUGAACUCCAUUGUUAGUACAUGUGCAAUUGUUCUAUUGUGCAAUUCUGUUCGUUUUUGCUAUAUUCUUGUGUAAGGAAAUGUAUCCAUCAGAUGAGUUAUUGUGUUAUGUAAAUCUGGGAGAUGUAUUAUGUGAUGUUAUAUGAUGGAUGAGUUUAAUUCGACUUGGAGUUUUCUUGAUUUGAAUAUGAAAUAAUGCUGCAUUUAAUAUUGAACAAAUAAUUGGUUGAAAAUGCCCAAUAAAGAGAAAUGAAACCAAGUUCUG